UAUUACGAGUCACCAUGGCAACAGGACAACAAAAGACGUCCGAAAAUGGAUAUGACCUCAAGCAUAUAGUGACUACGAGUCUAUAUUCGGUAGAAAAAGCAACACGGCUGCAGCGGCGAAAGAGAAAGAAUUAGCUUGGAAGAAAAUAGCUGCUCGAGUCAAUGCCCAACAGAAAGAAGGCAGAGGCUAGAACAACUGGUGGAGGACCUUCACCUCCACCACUGACCCAUGCAGAGGAGAAGGCCCUCGGCAUGAACACUGGAAAGCAGAGGCUGAAGGAAUUCCUGGAGGGAGUUCAUCAGAACCAGUCACUCCCCAGCAUACAAGUGCAUUUGUAAAAUAUUCUGAUAGUAAUAUAUGAAUCCUCCUGUCACAACAGAAACCCAGGAUGUUACUGUGAAAGAACAGCAGGAGGAGGGUCCGUCACAUUCUGCUGCACAGAUGCACACAGUCCAGUGAUGUUUAGUAAAUGCCAGAGUUCAAUUCUGUAAGAGUAAUGAGGAACUAUGUCUUGUAACUCUAAAUCUUCUGUAUUUUAAGUUACCGGUUAUUGAGUUGUAUAUACUAAAUCCCGAGGAAAUGUUAUACAUGUACCACAAAAUUGAAAAGACAGAUCUAGAAAUUGAAAUUCCCAAACACAAGCUGGAGAUGAGUGUAUAGUUAAAGGUGAAUUGUAUGAAUUAUUGGAAGAAUCAUAAAAUCUAACAAUUGCCUUUGUAUUUGUAGGAAAUGAAAAAAAAAACAAAUGAAUUAUGAUUUGCAUUUAUUCAGUUUCUUUUAUUGGUGGUGAUGGUUGAUUAAGACAUUACAGCAAAUCACAUCUCUGACUGUCCAUCCACUGUGCAGAUUACCAUGAUGGAAGGAGUCUUCCUCAGGGUCCUGUAUUUGUGGGCCUGCUCCCAUGAGUGUGAGUGUGUCAAGAACACACGGAUGAGGACCCAAAUGCACAGCGCAACACAGCUUGACGGUGGUAAAAGGAUAGUUUAUUCCAGGUUACAGGGUCCAGAUCAGGCAGAGUCAUACACGAGAGGUUAUGCAGGUUUAAACAAGGUCAGGCGGAGACAGCGCCAGGGACAGGCAAGGUUCGUACAUGAGGGGCAGGUUAACAAUGCCAAAUCGUGUGUGGAAUCGUGGUCAGGCAGCCAGACAAGGACGGUAACAUGCAGAGCAGAAGACCAGGGCAGACAAGACAGGCAGGGAUUAGGCAGGCUCGGAAUCAGUGGUCAAAAAACAGGGUACACGAUACACGACAGGACUAGAUCAACGAACGCUGGAAAGUGGUGAUAACACGCAACAAUCUGGCAAAUUACAAGGGUGAGCGGUGGAGCCUAAAUACGAAGUGGACUGAUAGCAGAUGAGGUGCAGGUGUGGAUAAUGCGAACCAGUACAGACAGGGAACAGCUGAUGAUGUGACGUUAGCAGGAAGUCCUUUCAACAUAAAGCAGGAACAGGCAUCAGAAACAAGAGACAAGAAACCAGAUCGUGACAGAGUGCAUGCAUUGAAAUAAGUGUAUAGGACAUCCAUGUACUUACCCCAGUGCAGCCUGUUAUUUAGGGUUGACUCACAAUAUAUUCAUGAGUUCACGUUUAUGAUAUGUGCAGCAUCACAUUUGAUCUUGGUGGUGUAAACAAUGAUACGUCAGUGACCAUUCGAAAGAGUAGUCAGUGCACCUGCACAUUUAUUAGUUUAUUUCAGGUCACAGCAAGAUGUUAUUAAUUCAUCAUAAUUUUUCAGAUUAGCCUCACUGAAACGCAUUAAAUACCACAUACCUGCAAUCCUGUGAAACUCCUCUUUAAUGGCUUUAAGGAGUUUGUGUCAAGGAAAGCGCUUGAGGUCGAGCUUUUCUACAUACAGUGCCUUUACUAACGUGCUCAGCAUCUCCACUGUUAUAAAGAAAACUACCAUUUGCAGGUGAUGUGUUUGAUGUACAGUAUGGGUGGAUAAGAUUAUUGACAUAUGUCAUGGAGUCUCAAAAAAAACGGUACCGCUAAAAUAAAUAUGCACGGCGAUAUUACAGAAAAUUAACUCGUGGCGUCAAAAUCCUCUCGCGGCGUAAAUGCAAUGCCGUGUGAAUUAAUACAUCGUCCUCAUCUACAGGAUCUUGUAGGGAAGUGCCUGUUUCUAGAGGAUUUUGCUUCCUGCGCGAAGAAAACAGGUGAAAUCUAUGAAUGUACUGAAAGAUUAAACGAGGUAUUUAAACACUGUUCACUUUAAAAAGUGGCGGGGACCGAAGGAAACUCUGGGUUUCCCAAAUAAAACCUGCUCCCGACCAGGUUAGGUUCACAGAGUAAGUUGCCAUAGUAACUGACUCUGAGUUUCGAUUACCUCGCUUCUUGAAACGGGUUUAAACUUACCCCGCUUUACGGGUUUAAGUAACCCCGCUUUCUGAAACCGAAAACUCUGAGUUUUCCUUAUUUCGGGGUUAACAAACUCAGAGUUUCCACAAAACCUCCUUCUUGAAACAGGCCCCAGGAAACACAAUGACAUUAACAAGAAACACAACAACAUUAACAAAAAACACGAUGACAUUAACAGAAAAGACAACAACAUUUAAACAUUAUGGAAAGGGUAGGGACCGGGUCUUGUUUCUGAUUCUGAAGCUAAGACCGUCUAAUUUUCACUUCCUGUUUUUUACCUGCAAGCUAAAAACAGGGCUAUGAUGCGCUUAUUAAUUUAUUAAGGGCUAUAUAACAAAGGAUUUUAUCGGAGAUCGAUAGAAACGUUGCUGCCAUUUACAGCUGCCUGGAGACCGAAUAACAUGGUUGGUUCUUGGAUAGAAACCUAAAACAGGCUCCAUGUUAAAACUGUGUUUAAAUGCUUAGUGAACUGAAUCCGCAGGUAUUUAACUCACGGAUCUUUUGGUAGACAGACUUACUAUUUAAUGAGGCCAAACUAAGUACUGUACUGUAUUAUAUAUUAAGCUGAAACUUGUCUAAUUGCCAACCACCUUGUUCGGUAGCCAAACAGCUGUUCAGGUCUGCAAAGUCCUGAUAUGAUCGCUCUUCCCACACUUAUGAAAGAGUAGACUCCGUCCCACUGAGUCCUGCUUCUUUCAGUUUUCUUUCAGUUUAUAAAUAGCCAUCAAUUUUCUUCUUUAACAUUCAGUUAAAUUUGAAUUACUGCACAGCUAAAUCUAGGCUUUGAAAUUAACUCAGUUCAGUUUUACUUUAUCUUACAUGUCAAUGUGAGACCACUGAACAAACUGUAGAGCUGAGUUGCAGUAACUUCUUUCCUGUGGAGUUGAAUUUCCUCUGCCAUACAGUUAAUAUUCAAUAUUUAUAACUUGAGUAUCACUCUUUAUUAGUGUAGUGCCUUAGACUGAGUUAAUAAAAUACAAACAACUACAGCAUUGAUAUUCCUCUAUGUAAUCUUUACUUACAGUAUAACAGAAUAGUAAUAGUUUAAAGGUCCCUGCACAUGCAAAAUUCACUUUUUGGACAGUCUGGUACAUUUAUAUGACUCUCUGGUUCAUGUGGAGACACUCCUGGUGUGUUAGACGUACGCCCCCUACUUAUUUCACAUUUUGAGAGUUUAUCCAAUCCGGACCAUCGGUUUCAAAUUUGGCGGACUGCGUACAUCUGCAUUCUAUUAACCACUCACAGAACCAGCUUAGGCACCAAAAUUUACAUGCAACAUUGCGUUUCAGUCACUCAUUGUGCACUCUAGCAUAGUAGGUAGCGGUAAUGCACCUUUUAUUUGGUUGCCACCCACUAUUUAGAAGACAAAAGAAGAAGAAGUCACUUACUGUGACACAAAUUGACAUAGGGCCAUUAGGGUUCCGAAGGUGCUCCGUUGUUGGUUGUUCCAACCAGCAUUGCAGCCUUUUCAUUUUACCAGCGGAGCUCUUGUAAAUGGACCUGUGCCAGCACCGCUGCCUAAAUGCUUCUUUGUGUGUGGACACCAUUUCACCUCUGUCUGCUUUGAAAACGAGGGUAUAUUUAUUACAGGGCUUGAGGUUGAAGAAGGGCUCUGUUCCUACAAGACGUGAUCCACUUGCUACUAGCACUAGCCUCCACAUGACGUUCAGUACAACUUGGGUUUGGCUGUUAUAGUAAGUUGUGAAAGUCAGCUGUGUUUCUAAUUACUACAGAGCCUGUCGUGUGUAUGUCGUAGCCCAAGUAGACCUGUGAAUUUGGGUUAUGGCAAGGUCUAUCUAAGUCUAACAUGUAUGUUGUUGCUGUCUUCUCGUAAGUGUUGCUUAUCUAGUCAACUAACUGUAAAAAUGACAUUGUUUUUUUUUAUACAGGCUGGCGCAUCCCAGCUACCGAGAGGCAGUGAAAGAGGUUGCUUCUCAAACAAGACAUGCCGCUGCAGGCUGGAGUUGUUGGUCACCUCACCUUUGUUGGCCAAUAGGCAGUUUUAUUUGACAGAGAUUUUGGCUACUAAAAAUAAACCAAUUUAGAACUGUGUCUAUGCAAAAUUACCCUACAUUACUGGAAACAGGUAUUUAGACUGACAAAAUAGGAACAUAGUAGUUCAGAAGUCAGCUCUGUCCUGGGCCAUGUCCUGUCCUGGGACGCAAUACAGAAGGUGGGUGACAGAAGGGUCCUGGCAAACCUGACAUCUAUUUUGGACCUUGACUUUCACCUGGGGAGCAGCUUCAGACCUAUCCACCCUUGCUGUAUGAAGGAGAUCUUUGUUUUUUGCUGCAAUUAGACUGUACAAUAAGCAAUCUUAAAUCACCUACCUGUACAUCACACUCACUCACUAGAAUCAGUUGUAAAACUAGCCAUUAUAACCAGCUUUCUUUGUUGGAUUAUAUUAUCAGCUCUUCCUUUUGUUUCUGCAAUCAAAGCAGGUGAAGCAAUUUCCCUCUGGGAAGUUUUUAAAACUCGUAUAGAAGAGGGCUCGUUUCUAUCUUGGUGAAGAACAGAGAGGUCUGAGGAUCACAAAUAACAAGACAAAAAUAAUAAUAAUUCUAUGCAUUCAUUUUUGUGUUCCAUCCAUUAGGCUACUGUAGCAACAUGUUUUUUAACAGUAACUUUUUUGUGUCAGCACUAUGAUGCAUACAUUUUGUUUGCUAAUCUACAGCAUUACAACACAACAUUAUGUAUAGAUGGUGACACUUUAAUGAUUACAGAUAAAUAUGUCUAGUCUACCCACUGUGUGGUGUAAGUGUCACAUGUCUGAGCAGUCAGUCAGUUCAGGUUCAUUGAGAAAUAUUUGUAUUUUUGUGUAAACAAAAACAUUACAUUCACUUACUUUCCUGUGUGUAGAUGACAAAACACCUGUUUGUUGGAUGGUCAGGAAAUACAUCCUCAUGAUGCUGGACUAUAAACGUAAAAGUUAAAUUUUUGUUAAAGUUAGCUAACUUUCCACAGGUACAAAGAAGUAACCUUCACCCAUAACGUUAGCUGUGUGUGCGUCUGAACAUGGAUAUGCAGACACAUGUUGUAGCUUCCUCCAAGUUAUUCACAGACACAAGAUGUCACAAGGCAUAAACAGUUGCAGCACUAUGCAUAAACAUAACCCAAUAUAUUGGUGUGUGUAAUGGAAAAAUUGUGCCUUUGUGCUAUUUCUUAUCCAACACAGCCGUCAUGUGCUGGUAAGUUGCAAUACUGAACUGAACAUUCUUACACAAACAACUAAUCUCUUGUGCCCUGUCAUAUAUCAAGUCUAAACAUCUGAUGUUUCAUUUGACUGACUAAUAGCUUAUGAUAUAUGUUGGUCGUUUACACCCGAACUCUGGCUCCAUCCUAUCUGACUCCCCACCAGACCCAGGACUGUUAAAGCGAAUGCAUCUUGUCUUCGAAGCUUGGUGUUCCUUCCUUUGGAUAACAAGACUGAUGAUGCAGUGAAAAUGUAAACAUUCUCACUCACGGCGAGAUAAGGUGGCACAAACAAUUCUAUUGGUGCAGAGAGACAUUCCACCAGAGCCAGAGAAAGGGGUUAAAAGGCAGAGACAACUUGAGGAUCGUGGGCUCUUUGCAUCACACCUUCGUGCUGUAUGCACUGAUCUCCCCAGCUGGUUUUUGGUUUGUUGAUGUGCACGAUCAACAUCCAUGCUUUUGAUUUGCUUUCCCCAUUAUUUUUAUUUUCCUUUAUUUUUAUAAUAAAUCACACAAAAGACAACUCUGUCAUCUGCCUCAGUACAGUAAAGUAGGUACAGUGUCAGUACAGUAAAUAUGCUUCAUCUAAAGCAAAAUGUUUUAUCUGGUGAAAGCAUUAAUUUUCAAAAAAAAACAAUUGAAAUAAUGAUUUUCAGAUGUCCCGGGUCGAAUCUCGGUGGGAGCAGAAGUAAUUACUGAACAA
This is a long non-coding RNA of Betta splendens (Siamese fighting fish), 6253 nucleotides long. RefSeq lists it as uncharacterized. The record is from RefSeq and is a predicted model, not a curated record. NCBI's taxonomy places the organism in Eukaryota, Metazoa, Chordata, Actinopteri, Anabantiformes, Osphronemidae. The transcript is spliced from 4 exons.